Molecule: transfer RNA, 72 nt
Filed under: Drosophila virilis
Lineage: Eukaryota; Metazoa; Arthropoda; Insecta; Diptera; Drosophilidae
Also listed under: 5 other names
Description: tRNA-Gly (CCC) (tRNA-Gly-CCC-1-1)
Rfam family: tRNA
About the family: Transfer RNA (tRNA) molecules are approximately 80 nucleotides in length. Their secondary structure includes four short double-helical elements and three loops (D, anti-codon, and T loops). Further hydrogen bonds mediate the characteristic L-shaped molecular structure. tRNAs have two regions of fundamental functional importance: the anti-codon, which is responsible for specific mRNA codon recognition, and the 3' end, to which the tRNAs corresponding amino acid is attached (by aminoacyl-tRNA synthetases). tRNAs cope with the degeneracy of the genetic code in two manners: having more than one tRNA (with a specific anti-codon) for a particular amino acid; and 'wobble' base-pairing, i.e. permitting non-standard base-pairing at the 3rd anti-codon position.
Source: Rfam by way of RNAcentral
GCGCCGGUGGUGUAGUGGCGAGCAUGGUUGUAUCCCAAGCAGCAGAUCCGGGUUCGAUUCCCGGCCGGCGCA